CAGCAGCCGCCACGGUAAUACAGAGGGUGCGAGCGUUAAUCGGAUUUACUGGGCGUAAAGCGUGCGUAGGCGGCUUCUUAAGUCGGAUGUGAAAUCCCUGAGCUUAACUUAGGAAUUGCAUUCGAUACUGGGAAGCUAGAGUAUGGGAGAGGAUGGUAGAAUUCCAGGUGUAGCGGUGAAAUGCGUAGAGAUCUGGAGGAAUACCGAUGGCGAAGGCAGCCAUCUGGCCUAAUACUGACGCUGAGGUACGAAAGCAUGGGGAGCAAACAGGAUUAGAUACCCCCGUAGUCCCUGUCUCUUAUAC
RNAcentral lists this ribosomal RNA (304 nucleotides) under uncultured bacterium. RNAcentral describes it as "partial 16S ribosomal RNA". It matches the Rfam family "Bacterial small subunit ribosomal RNA", at positions 509 to 807 of the family's 1533-position model. The record is from RNAcentral.